Molecule: non-coding RNA, 138 nt
Organism: Paramuricea clavata
Lineage: Eukaryota; Metazoa; Cnidaria; Anthozoa; Malacalcyonacea; Plexauridae
Source: the annotation of a GenBank genome assembly
UUAUCAGACUUGUUACAAGGUUGUUCUGACAAGUCUGACACAAUCAUGAUAUAACAAGAAUGUUACAAGGUUGUAACAACACUGUUAUAUCAUAACUGUAUCGGACUUGGUGGAACAACCUUGCAACAAGUCUGAUAA